CCCAACUUAGAGCAUCUGACAGUGGGUAAAAAUGAAUUAAAGAUGAUUGUCAAUGGAGAAUUUCAGAGAAACCUUUUACACAAGUUAAAAGUUCUUACUUUGUGCUUUGAUAUUGAGUGUGAUGAAUAUCCGGAGUAUGGAUUUCUACAACAGUUGCCAAAUGUAAUGAAGCUUGUGGUGUGUGACAGUUCCUUCAAAGUCAUUUUCUGCGAUCAAAGACCUAAUAAUAGUGAAAUUCUUUUACAAUUGAAAGAAUUACGGUUGGAGUCCCUUCAAGAGUUGGUUUCCAUUGGCUUAGAAAACUCAUGGACUGAACCCUUUGUCAGAAAUCUUGAAACCUUUGAAGUCAUUAGCUGUUCCAAUUUAAAAAACUUGGUUCCAUGCAGAGUGUCUUUCUCGAAUCUGAUAUGUUUAAAAGUUGAAAAUUGCGAUAGCUUGUCAUAUUUAUUCACAUCUUCAACAGCCAAAAGUUUGGUUAAACUCCAAAGAAUGGAGAUAAAAAGGUGUGAAUCAAUUGAAGAAAUAGUGUCUAAAGAAGGGGAGGAAUCAGAUGAAGAUGAAAUAACAUUUCUGGAGCUCAAUUGUUUGAAACUUAAAUAUCUGAAAAAUCUCCGAAGGUUUUACAAAGGGAGUUUAAGUUUUCCAUUGUUAGAGGAAUUGUCAAUAAGAUGGUUCGACGAGAUGGUAAGUUUAUGUGGAGGGACUCUGGAGGCAAGUAUGUUGUCUGAAGUAAAACUUGAUUGGUCAACCACUACAUUGGAAACUGGUCUCAACUCUACUAUGAAGAAGGAAUUUCUGAAAAAGGUACGUCGUUAAUAUAUAUAUAUAUAUAUAUAUUUUUUAUUGAACAUUGUUAGGAUUAUUGUGUAUAUAAAAAAUACAGCCUCUUAUAGGCCAUUGAUUAUAUAUCUAUAGCCCAUGUUAAAAUAUACAAGACGGUUUAGGACAACAUGUUUGAAAAUUAUUAUCAUUUGUUCCUAUAACUUUUGAUUAUUACAUCCUCUGGUGGAUGUAAAUAUGAUUAUUACACUUUUUUUCCUAUAACUUCUAGUUAACACUAUGUCUAUAAUUUAAACUCAGAAAGUACUAUACUAAAAUAUUUCAAAAUAAACAAAAGAGUUCGUUAUAUAUAUAUAUAUAUAUAUAUAUAUAUAUAUAUAUAUAUAUAUAUAAUAUUUUUCAUUAAAAAUAUUAAAUGUGAAGAAGGAAAAAAAACAUUGUUUAAAAUAAUUAUAAAUUUUAUUAUUCAUAAAAGCAAUUUUUAUUUAUUUAUUUACACGUCUCAAAUAUAGCGUAAGGGUACAACAAAUUUUUAACUUUUAUGAUAACUAAAUAAAAUUAUAAAUAUCAAUUCUUAACUUGGUUUUGCAAGUCUUGGAGUCAAGAAAUGUGAAUUAGAAAACGUGAUUCAGUAGAAAAUUUCUUUUAAAUAUAGUUAAGUGAAUUUCUUUUCGUAAUAAAAAAUAAUUAAUAAUAAAAAUAGUGAGUAUUUCAAAUUUGUGUAGUACUAAUUUAAAAGAUAUCAUUAACUCUGGUAAAUAAUUAGUUUCAUAUUUUUAUUUAUUGUUUUGCACUUUCAGAUUUCAGAGCUUGACGAACUUGAUCUGGAAAGUGGGCCAAGACUACAAGAGAUAUGGAAUGGCUCACUGCAUAUCCCCGACCUCUGUUUCAGUGAGUUGGCCAAAUUGACUGUGAAUGACUGCCAGUUUUUGUCAGAUGCAGUGCUACCCUUCCAUUUACUUCCUUUAUUACCCAAAUUGGAGAUAUUGGAAGUUCGAAACUGCAACUAUGUCACAGUCAUUUUCGAUGUCAAUCCUUCAACACGAUACCCUUUAAUUACUCUUCCUCUGAAGAAAUUGGUUUUAUCGAAUCUUCCAAAUGUGGAGAAUGUUUGGAAUGAAGAUCCUCGUGGAAUUCUAAGCAUGCAACAUCUACAACAAGUGUUCGUUGAUAAAUGCAAAUGCCUUAAAACCGUGUUUCCAGCAUCAGUAGCCAGAGACCUUGUAAAACUUGAAGAUCUAGUACUGGAAGACUGUGAGGGAUUGAUGGCAAUUGUUGCAGAUGAAUCUGAUGAGAAGGAAGAAAUUAUAUUUGAGCGGCUUCAGGUUUUGGAUCUUAAAAGAUUAAAAGAACUAACGUGCUUUUACGAUGGCAACUUUACUUUAAGUUUUCCAUCCUUGAAGGAAGUCCAUGUCAUCGAGUGCAGCUCCAUGAAAACUUUCAGUGCAUUCAACAAAAUAGAUAAUCCGACAAGAUGGUAUUAUUCAGAACAUGCGAGACCCCGAAAGGAAACUGAUCUUAAUUCUGCUCUGCACAAAACUUGUGAAGAAGAGGUAUGCAUACUUUUACGUCUUAAUCUUUGUUCCUGCUAAUUUCUUAAAAGUAACUUUUGUAUAUGGUCUUAUGUUUUAAAUAGGCUCCAGAUGCUUCGAGUACAUCAAAUACUUGAGAUAGUGAAGAUAGCGGAUAAGGUACAUCAAAUAUUAACUAAUGCCACUGCAAUUGUUAAUCUUUUCUAGGGUGAGUUUUACUGUCAUCUUCUCUAUGCGCAUGCAGGUGAUGAUUAGUGAGCAAGCACUUUUUCACAACAUAACAUCAUGAUUACGUCUUAUUAUGUAAGUAACUUUUUAUUAGUUUCAUUUUACGUUUUAUUGAUAUCUAUUUAAGUGAAUAUUUCUUUGUCAUGUUAAUAGCUUGAAAUUCACUUAAUGUUACUUAUACUUCUUUAAUUAAAUUCAUAACUUUCUAUAGUAAUUCCUUUUAUAAUUCGUCGUCUAGGUUGAGUCUCUGUUGCCGACUCCAAUAUUGCAGUAAUUAAGAGGAGAUUAAAGGCGUGAAGAAUGGAUGAAGAUGAAUCUGUCUCGAUUUUAUUACGUGUGGUUGUGUUUUAAAGAAAAUGAAAAAAACGAAAAAAAAAAGUGUUAUUCUACCUAGUUGAAGAUGAAUGUGUUCCUAAUUUAUUAUGUAUGAUAGUGUUUCUUUUUCAAAAAAAAAAAAAAACUGUGUUGUUCUGUCUAGUUGAAGAUGAAAUACAUUAUUAUUUGUACUAUGUAAUGUGUGAGAUUAAAAGUGAUUGAAAGUCAUGAGUAUUGAUUAAAGACGAAGUGAUGAACUGUGUCACUAAAUAUUGACUGUAUUUGCAUAUGUGGUUAUGCUGGUUUAAAAAAACAAAUGUAUGUUUGUAUUCAUUUUCUGUUAAUUUUAUCUUUGUUAGGAAAUUAUGCACAAUUCCUCUUAAUCAGAUUUGUGAGAAAAAUAUAAAUGCAGAAUAAUGACACUCAAAAUAAAACUCUUUAGAUUUCACUGCAAAUGUAUUAAUGAUAAAAAAUAAAAUUACAAUAUCACUUUUUUUCUCUUUAUUUCUACUCUGGUUUUCUCUUUUUCUUCUCUACAUUUUUUAUUAUGUAUUCUUUCUCUUAUUUGGAUAAAAUCUCUUUUGACCAAUUUUAACAAUCUCCCACUUGAAGACUAAUUUUAAUUUGUCUUCAUAUCUUGAUCAUUAUACCACCAAUCUUCUGUAGUCUAUUAUUGUAGCAAGCCAACUGAAGUUGAACACAAUUUCAGUUUGUCAAUGGUUACCACUUUUGUUAACAUGUCUGCUGGAUUUUUACUUCCGAAAAUCUUUCUCAAUGUUAGCACCCCAUCUUCAAGCAAAGAUCUAAUGAAGUGAUAACGAACAUCAAUAUGUUCGUUAUCACUUCAAGCAAAAUUUUCAUUAUAAUUACUUAAUAGAUUUUAUAUAUUAAAAUUUAUGUUUUUAAAAUAAAAGUAACACAGUGGCACGGUAAUUAGUUAUUUAUUUUAAAUUUAAAAUAAUUUAAUUUUUUUAAACAUAAUUGUAAUAUAGCACUUAUAAUAAGUUUACUUACAUAUAUUUUCAUUGUUAUCACUAUGAGUAAUUUUAAAUUAAUAAACUUAUUUUUGGAUAUAUAAAUAUUUAAUAAAUUUAUAAUAUUAUAUUAUACUUGUCUAAAAAUAUAAAAAAUAGUAUUAUUAUUUAUUUUAUUUUUUUUGUUGAUAGUUUUGUUAGAGUAAUGUGUAUAUUAAAUUUAAUUAAUAUAAAAAGCUUAGUAAUUUGAUAAUUUUAAUUUAUACACCAUUUUUACUGUCAUUAGUACUAAUAAAUAUAUUAUAAAUAUAUUUUUAGUUAUUUUAAAGUUAUAAUUUUAAAAUAAAAAAUAUUAAUUAUUAAAGUGAGUGCUAUAGUAAAAGUUUUUAACUUGAAAUAUGUAAUUUGUUUUUCUUUAACUUUAUGGGGAUAAAAAAAAGUAAGAUUAUAUUUCAAAGGUAGAGAAGUAAUUUAAUAAUUUGUCUGAUUUACAGGUCAGUUUCGCAUACACUGAAUAUCUGUGGCUUGAUAACACUGAUCAUUUUAUUAUAAAGCAACUAUGGAAUAACACUCAUUGGGGGCAGCAAAAGAACUUUGGGUAUUUGAAAAGGUUGAGUGUAUGGUAUUGUGAUACUCUAAAGCAUAUAAUUCCAUCUCAUUUGCUUUCUUGCUUUCACAAUUUGGAAGAGUUAGAUGUAUACUAUUGCAGUAAUGCAGAGGUGAUAUUUAAUAUGAAUGAUGAGAACAGGGUGAUGACAAAACCUUCCGGAAUAUUCCGUCUGAAAACAUUGUAUUUAGAUAAUAUACCAAAACUGAAGCAUAUAUGGGACAAGGAUCCGAAGGGAAUUAUUGACCUUAAUGCGCUAGAGGUAAUGCGUGUUGAAAAUUGUAGGAGUCUUACAACUUUGUUUCCAGCGUCGGUGGCCAAAGAUCUUAACAGACUUGAGGUGUUUAAAGUAAUAAAGUGUGAUGAAUUGGAAGAGAUAUUUAGGAGUGGAGAAGAAGAAGGAUCAAUCCAAGAGUCUGUUUUUCAUCAACUCACCACAUUGACGCUACAACAAUUGCCACGCCUCAAAUAUUCUAUCCACCGCUCCAAACAACAGGCAAUUCUCACACUUUUUACUUUAUCUAUUCUUACUCUUAUUAUUUCUAUUUUAUAAAAUAUAAAUUUCUUCCUAUUAACAACAAAAAAUUUGCUCUCCAUGCUUUGUCAGUCGAGAAUGGUAAUCGGUGUUGUUUUCCAAGGAGACAUCCUUCGCACGAUUCAUUAUUUUCCUUCAAGAAUGGAAGAUCUCUCAUCAUGUUUUUCUGAUAUAGAAGCUUUAAGGCAUGUCUGUUGAAGUGGCCAAAUCUCCUAUGCCAAAGCCAUGAGCAUCAACUUCUACCUUCAUGGCAAUAUUAGUUCCAGGUUUGAAGCUUAUAGGAAAGCUUCUAUUUCUCUUCUCCAUUUUUACUUGGCCAAUUUCUAUCAUUUUACUAUCAUAAAUUUUGCAUGUAUCUUUCUCAAAAUGAAGAGAAUAUCCAUUNUCCAUCAUUUGGCCAAUACUUAAAAGAUUNUCUUUAAGAUUAGGAACUAGUAAAACAUCCUUGAUGAAUUUCGUACCUUUCUUUGUUUCCACCAUGACAGUUCCUUUGCCUCGAGACUCCACUGUUGUGCCAUUUCCUAGCCGAACUUUGACAUUGACAGAUUUAUCAAUGUCUUUGAAGAUGCUUUGAUCUUUCGCCAUGUGAUUGCUACAUCCACUAUCCAAGUACCAACUUCCUUCUCCACNAGGNGAUUCUUGAUUGGCGUAGAAUAAGAGUUUCUCCUGAUUAUCUUCUUCUGCAAAGUUUGCUUGAUGCUUAUUUUUAUUACGACAAUACUUUUCUAUGUGACCAAAUUUCUUGCAAUAGUGGCAUUGAGGUUUUCCAUGAUGCCAACAAUCCUUUUUCAAGUGAUUUGUCUUUUUACAGAUGCCACAUGGAGGAUAUAUUUUCCUUGAUGAGUCAUAGAGAAGCUUCUAGAAUUUUCUUUAUUUCUAGAAAUUUCUCCUUUACUUUUAUUUCUUUCACAUUCUUUCUGAGACUACAAUUUUAGUUUUGAUUGAAAGGCAUUUUCAACUGAGUCUUCUUCAUGCCUUUUCAAUCUUUGUUCAUAAGCUUCAAGAGAGCCCAUUAGUUGUGUUACUGACAAUGUAGUCAAAUCUUUUGUUUGUUCAAUCGCAGUUGCGAUUGCAUCAUAUUUUUGGGGAAUUGAAAUUAAAAUUUUCUCAACGAUCUUUUUGUCAAGAAUAUUUUCCCCAUAGGCUCUCAUCUGACUAACUAUUUCUUUUAUUCUAGAAUAGUAGUCUUUGAUGGUCCCAGAUGCUUUCAUUCUUAAUAAUUCAAACUCUCGUCUUAGAGAAUGAAGUUUAACAUUGCGUACCUCGUCACUUCUUUGAAACUCCUCUUGUAUUGUGUUCCAAGCUUGUUUUGCACUUGUGGCACCAAUUAUCUUUGGAAAAAUUGUGUCAUCAACUGCUUGUUGAAGAANAAAUAAAGCCCUUGAAUCCUUCUGUUUGUUUUCCUUCAACUCCUUCUUUUGAGCUGUAGUAAGAGUGGAGGUGUCUUCUGGAAUAAUGAAUCCUUCUUCUGUGAUGUCCCAUAUAUCUUGAGAGCGGAAGAAUGUCUUCAUUUUGACACUCCAGAAAUCAUAAUUUUCUCCUGUGAAAAUAGGUACUGGAAGUGAUGAUGUUUGAUUGGUAGUAGCCAUGAAUUGAGAAAAUAUUUUGGAGGCAGUACAAAAUGGGGUUAUAGUUUUGUUUAAGGUAGUUGAAAAUUUUAUCUACGCCUAGUAGAUGACCGAACGUAGCUCUGGUACCACUGUUAGUAUUUACAGGUUGUGAAAGGAGUAGUUGAUAAAGUAGAGAAAAUGUGGAGAUAGUGGGAUGUAGAAGUAGUAGUUGGAAGAAGUGUUGUAGUUGUCUUAGUUGUUAUAGAUGUUGGCUUCUUGUCUACAUACAUCAAAUUGUAGAGUUCAUGGGUAUUUAUAGACCCAUAGAAUAUUCUAGAACAUGCUAGUCACAACUUAUGUGGAAUGUUCUAGAUUUUUACCUAUGUAGAAUAUUCUUGAUUUUUCUUCCUAUCUUAGACUUUUCUACAAUAUUCUAGAACUUGUGUUACAUUUCUUUUCUUCUAUCCUAGGAGUUUCUACAUUAUUCUAGAAUUUGCAUUACACUUUAAUAGUACGAAAUACUGUGAAAAUUAAAAUAUGAAACUUUACUUAAAAAUCUUUUAUCUUCUUUUCCUAUUAAUCUUUUUUUUUCUUUAUAUCAUUGUUAUCAGAACAUGUAGGAUCGAAAGUAUGUUAAAAGUGUAACCAUUGUCGCAGAGUCUAUACAUCGAUUGGGAUGUUUCAGUAAUUGAAUAGUAACUUCUUAAUUGAAGUCUACAACGAAACAAGUUAAAAUGGCUAUUCAAAAUUAAAUUUGACAGAAGCUUAUUCGAAAACGUAAGUGCAAAAGAAGGUACUUAUUAUAUUAUUAUAUGAAAAAAAUUAAAUAUGAUGUACUAGAUUAGUUAUAAUUUGUAUAUUAUGUUCAUUAAAAAAUUAAAACAAUAAUAUUUUACUAAAAUUGGUCUCACUGUAAUUGAGUCAUUAUUAAACCUUAAACCUGGUUUUCACUAAUUUAAUGAAUUUGUCUAGUUCCAUAGCAUCAUUGAUUUAUUAUAUAAAUAAGUAAAAAAAUAUGUUGGUAUGGGAAAAUAGUGUAAGAAAACGGGGACAGAAGGGGUUAUCCUGAGCCCCGAACACAUAGCCAAAAACGCCUGAACUGAAUCCAUGCAUUCGGAUGAAGCUGCAUAGGAGUAGCAUUCAGCUCGCAUAGGACGACCGACUGGAACGCCAUAAAAGGUACCCGAACAAAGAGCUGGUUGAAAAGAUUGGUGUACGAUAGGGUAACCGGACAUAUUGGAGUGAUCGGUCACACCGGCAGUAUGAUCGGUCAUACCGGCAAUGUGAUCGAGUUCCCUAGUGCGGUAAAAGAGGGCGGCGUUAGCAAUGAAAGAGGUAGAACAGCUGCGAAGAUCGGUCGCGCCGACGGGAUGGUCGGGACAGCCGACAGUAUGAUCGGGGAAUGAGAAAGGAGUCUACCAUAGCAGAAGAAGUGAUGCAAUGCUGAAAUGUAGGGAUGUGAGCACAAAUUAGGGCGAAAGUCCCGCCGAAAUAGCAGGGCACGUGAUCAGCAGUCGCGUUGUGGGGCGAGUUCCAUGGGAUCAUGGACCUCUGAACACGGACAGUUGCAGGAAAAUCUCAUGGAUCAUGGGCCACUAUGCAGGCAGUUAUAGCCCAUAUCUUACAGUCCAUAUCCAAAUUUAUCACCUAUAAAUAGGAGAGUAAGUAGUCAGGUAAAGGGUUGGAUUUUUAUUCAUUACUUUGAUAAUAUAGCGGUAGCCUUGCUGACUUGAUCGUCGGAGUGCUAACUUGCAGGUUGCAACCGUUCGGAUAAAGAGAGAUAAGAAUCCUGAAACACUCAGUUAAAGAAGUCCAGCGUGUCAUCGUAAUCCAUAGGUGAUCGGUGUCUUGGUUCCCAUCCAAAACAAUUGGCAUACAUGGAAAAUAAGUCAUUAAGACUUGACUCUUUUCCAUGGAAAAUAAGUUAUCAAGACUUGACUCUUUUUCAUGGAAAACGUACAUACUCACGUCGUGUGGCGCCUAGUCAUACCCUCGGAUGAUAGGUAAACUACCGACCGGUACUAGAGGAACAUCGUGAGCAGGAAUGCCCUCCUUGAGUAAGUGGAUGGGUAUCCCGUACACAACCCUUUCACCUCCAAACACAGGAGAAUGCGGCCCUGAAUCCUCUUCCUCAUUAUUUACAAGAGACAGAGGCCGCCUUGAGUCUGAAUCCCAGUUGGACCUCUUGAGAUAUGAUGACGACAAUGAACCGGGAGACCAGGGCUGACCGUCGUCACCCCCCGCUGUGUCGUCGCUCUUUUGCUCAACAACUCCAAAGAAGACUCAAUGUUAACAACUACCAUUUAUUACUUGAGGCAAAAAGAAUGUUGUGAAACUGGAAACGAGAGAAGAAGUGAGAAAAGAUGAAAAUGACAGCGACCCACACUCCUAUUUAUAGAAAAAUUUUGAAAACCGUCAAGCAUCGCCACCAUUAAAGAUCGCCACGACUAACGACCCAGAUUCGAAAAUGUUUCAAUUGCCUUGAGUAAGCGAUCACCCGACAUGUGUUUUUCCCGCCCAAACCCCAUUCCAAUAUAGUCGGGCAAUGACGAAGUCAUUAAUGAAGUCGUCAUAGAACCAGAGAUAGCUUAAAACCCUACAUCAACUAUGUUGCUUAGGGUUUGGGGUACUUGUGUACGAGAUGGGUCGGGCAGCCACAAGAUCAUCUUGAUUUGUGCGUCUCACAUGCUAACUUUUGAGUCGUCCCAAUUUUAGAAGGGUCAGACGACCAUAGAACCGCCUCGUAAAGACCCUUGACCGGACAACCUAAGACAAAUGAUUGGUCAGAACCAGCGGUAAUCAUGUUUACAAAAGGUUUAAGGUAAGAAGUGAUUAAAGCCAUUGGGCCGAAAUUGGACCGUGAUUAAGAUUUCGCUAAUCCCAGGUCCAUGGUGAAAACUAUAAAUACAUGUCACAGGUAAGAAGUAGGUGGUUCACAUUUACUACGCAUUUAUUACUGAUCCAAUAUCUACGAAUGAAUUGUUUACUGACUUAAACAUCGGAGAACCUUUCAUGGAUGCACCUCUAGGCAGGAGAGCGAAUAAGGAGACCAAAGAACGAGAUCGGACGACAUUGAAGGAUAAAUUGUGGAGGUGUUUGAAUUGAUUCGACUUUGCAACCGAAACAAUUUCUAUUAUUGAAAACAAUUACUUUUUUGGAAAUAUACAAACACAAGAAACUCAUAACAAUGUAAAACCGCAACCCCUCUCCUCUCUUCAUUUUUAUUCUUCUGGAUGUGUGCUCUCUGCUUUUCUCCUGCACCGUGUGUGCUAUCACCACUUACAUUUUCCGUGGCUCUUCCUCUCUAGAUUUAUAAUAAUCAACCAUCACACUCAAAAUCACAGAUUACUACGAACAUAAUUAUAAUACCACCACAAUCAAGUCCAAACACCACUUUCUUGGAAGGAGUAAAAGUAGCUCCAUGAUAGGAAAACAACCCUACUCCUGUCCACAUCUUUUGUUAAAAAGUGUGGGGCCAUUUAUAGUUUAUUCUACAGUAUUUUCUGUCAUCCACCAAAUGUCAGUGUCUUUGGAUUAUGACCCUGAUAAUAGAUCUACACCAAACAAAAAUGGUAAACAUAUAUAGUCACUACCCAUAAAGUAAAAAAUAAACUUCCUCAUAACAUGAAAAACAUAGCCGCUACCGAUGCAGAAGAAACUACCCAUCCCAUAACAUAUCUAAUUCACAUGACCCACCCACAUAUACACCAUUGAUUAGAUUAGUGGAGACACCACAUGUACUCUCUGCUUGAAGCAAAUAUUUUUUAUAAUACUUUUGACAAAAAUGCACUGUUUUUAUAAGUAUAUUACCUAAUCGUCAAGUGAUGAUUGUAGUGUCAAAGAAUCAUUUUCUUUUAUAUAAACGAGAUGUUAUCAUGACAAAACAGAGUUGAUAUCAUUCAGCAUGUGCCUUACACUUUGCUGCAAGUGUCGUAUUUUCUUGUAGCAUCACGUAGUUAAUUUGUCUCAGAUUAUUACUUUUCAGGAAUCUUUGAGCAUGCAAGGUUAUUUAUGUCUUGUGUAUAAAAGAGAUGGAUUGCUAAUUGCCAUAACCUGCUUUUGCUUGUGUUUUUUCUCAGUUAAAGUGGUUGUCACUGGGGAAUAAUGGAGUAGAGAUGAUUUUGCAUGGAGAAUUUCGGAGAAACUUCUUAGACAACUUAAAAGUUCAUACUCUCUGCUUGAUUAUUGAUGCAUUUGGGUAUGAAAUUCUAAAACAGGUUCCCAAUAUAGAGAAGCUUGUGGACUUCAUUUACGAUUAUAGUGGACUUCAUUUACGAUUGAAAGAAUUACGCUUGGAGUCCCUUCAGGAGUUGGUUUCCCUUGGGUUAGAGAACUCUUCGACUGAGCCCUUUAUCAGAAAUCUCGAAACCUUUGAAGUGAUCAGCUGUUCCAAUUUAAAAAACUUGGUAACAUGCAGAGUGUCUUUCUCGAAUCUGAUAUGUUUAAAAGUUGAAAAUUGCGAUAGCUUGUCAUAUUUGUUCACAUCUUCAACCGCCAAAAGUUUGGCUAAACUCCAAAGAAUGGAUAUAGAAAAUUGUAAAUCAAUUGAAGAAAUAGUGUCUAAAGAAGGGGAAGAAUCAGACGAGGAUGAAAUAAUAUUUCCGAAGCUCAAUUGUUUGAGUCUUAAAUAUCUGGAAAAUCUCCGAAGGUUUUACAAAGGGAGUUUAAGUUUUCCGUUGUUGGAGGAAUUAUCAAUAACAGAGUGCGACGACAUGGUAAGUUUAUGUCCAGGUACCCUGGAAGCAAGUAAGUUGUCUGAAGUAAAACUUGAAUGGUCAAACACUGCAUUGGAAAUUGAUCUUAGCUCUACUCUGUGGAAGGAAUUUAUGAGCAAGGUACGUGUUUAUUUAUUCAACAUUCUGGUAGAAAUGAGGGACAUAAAAUUUUAAUAAAGGUUUAAUCAAGUGUAUCUACCUUUCCUUUAGACCUUUUAUUUGAAAAAACAAUGUACAAAAUGCGUCUUGCAAAACAUUCAACUCACAAAUGAAAUAUUUUCUUAUCUAUGAAUUCUCUCUCCCCGGUUAGUUUUAUACCUAAAUGUAAAGUAUUUAAACGUCGAGUUUUCUUUAUAUAUUUAACAUUCUUAAAAUUAAUUGGAUGUUAUCUUUGAUAUAUAAAAGAAUGCAUUCCUUAUCAAAACUGCUUUGGAUGACCAAGUCCGAUGGUUACUUAUUAUGGAAAUUAUGUAUAGUACUUGCUAGCAGUUAUCUGCAAAAGAAAAGCAACUUUUUUAAUUAGGAUAGGUCAAUAUUGAUAUUAUAAAUUUAUGACUUUACCUAUAGUGCCUCGUCGUCAAACUUGUUACAAAGAAAAUAAUAUAUGUUUCAUGUUAAAAAAUUUGCAGAGAAGUUUAUGCAGAUAAAUUCUAAUAACUCCCAAAAAUAAAUACUAUGUUUAAUUAUUUUUGUUUUCUUAAAUAAGGUAAAAAAAUCACUAAUAAGGUUUCGAUUAUUGUGAUGUUAUUAAAAUGUUUUAGAGAAAUUAUACUUCUACCAUUCUUAGUUAUACAAAUGUUUUAGAGAAAUUAGUCUAAGUACAAUUUAGAAACAAUUUUUUGAUAACCAAAAUCUUGACAAUUAAUGUUAGUGACCAAUUUAUUAUAGUGACCAAUUUAGAAACUAUUUCAAUUAUUAAUAAUUUUUAAUUUAUAAAUUGAUAUCUAAGUUAUUUACUAUAAUGACUAAUUUUUUUUGUGACUAAAAUUAGUUAUUAUUUGGAGAUUUUCUUGUGCAGUGUAUGAUAUAAAAGAUAAAAGUUGAAAACUUAAAUAAUUUAACUAGCAUUUAUAUAUCUUAAAAUCUUGUUAAAUAAACUUGUGUUUUCUUUAAUUUUAAAUUGUGUUAUAUUUUUAUUCUAAAGAGGAAAUGAGAAGUUUUUCGAUAUAAUAUAUCUCAUGCAUGUCUAAAAUACAAAAGUUUAACAACAAUUACUUGUUAUUAUUGCCACUAUAUCUUAUUUAGGAAAAUAUUAAAAACGAUCUAUCAUUAUCUAAUGUAAAAAAUAAAAAUAAUAAAGUCAUAUCUUAUAUAAAUGUUAAAAGAUAACGUAUUAAAUGUUUUAAGAAAAAAAAAUAAUUUAAGAAUCUAAAACCAACAUAAAAAAAGGUUAAUUCUAAUAACAUUUAAAAAGUUCUACAAUUUGAAAAGAAAAGACAUUAAAAUUGAUCAUUGCAUUUCUGAAAAAUUAGUUAUAAUUGGUGGUUUCUAGCAAAAGUAUAUUAAAAAAAUCUGAAUUAUUGUUAUCCAUGUAAAAGAUUAAUUUCAUAUUUUUAUUUAUUGGUUGAUUUGUGCUGAUUUCGCAAGAUUGGAAGGAGAUCCAGUGUUGAGUUCAAAGAUAGGUCAGACCUAAACGAGAUAUGGCGUCUUUCACGGCAAAUGAACGACUUCUGUUUCAGUAACUUGAAAACCUUGGUUGUGGAUGGGUGCCAACUUUUAUCAUAUGUAAUCCCCUUCCAUGUGCUUCCUUUGUUACCUCAAUUGCAAACAUUGGAAGUUCGAAACUGUGAUUCUGUUAAAACCAUAUUUGAUGUCAAAUCUUCACAAGAUACAUUCACUUUUCCUAUGAAGAAAUUAGUUUUAUUGAAGCUGCCAAAUCUUGAAACUGAUUGGAAUGAAGAUCCUGCUGAAAUUGUUACAGAGCCUAAUCCAGCUCAUCCAGAACAAACAAAUCCUAAGGUUACAUUCCCCUGUGAUUUGCCCAAGUUCAAGCAUAUUCGUAUACAUUGCAUUCAUGAUCCAACAGCAUAAUAGUACAUAUAUUCUUGUACUUCCAUUGAAAUUAUCAUGCAUCAAAUAUUGCUUAAAUCUCCUACCAAUCAUCGAAAGUCUCUCAUCUCAUUUAUCAAAUUUUUCAUCUAAAAUUUUAAACUCGAAAUUGUUGCAAGUGCAUACGGUAUGGCCUUAUUAACAGCUACCCGGCCUGGCUUGUUCAUCUUUUUUAGAGUUUUUAAAAUAAACGUUUUUUCUUUCAAAUUGACUAGUUCACACCUAUUUUUAUUUUAUAUUGAUUUGUUUAGUUUUUUUUUUACUAAUUAUCAGACUUAUUUUAGCAUAAAAAUUUACGGUUUCAAUUUUAUAUAGAGAGACGAAUAUAUAUGACUGUGCUAACUGCUUUCACUUCGUUAUUGGUUUUUCUUUGUAGAUAAUUACAUCGAACUUAGAACAUCUGACCGUGAGUGAAAAUGAAUUGAAGAUGAUUGUCGAUGGGAAAUUUCAGAGAAACCUUUUAAACAAGCUAAAAGUUCUCGGUCUGUGCUUUGAUAAGAAGUGUGAUGAAUAUCCGGAGAAUGGGUUUCUACAAGAGUUGCCAAAUGUAAUGAAGCUUGUGGUGUGUGGCAGUUCCUUCAAAGUGAUUUUCUGCUAUCAAAGACCGAAUAAUAGUGAAAUGCUUUUACAAUUAAAAGAAUUACGUUUGGAGUCCCUUCAAGAGUUGGUUUCCAUUGGCUUAGAAAACUCAUGGACUGAACCCUUUGUCAGAAAUCUAGAAACCUUUGAAGUCAUUGCGUGUUCCAAUUUAAAAAACUUGGUAACAUGCAGAGUGUCUUUUUCAAAUCUGAUAUGUUUAA
This 14085-nucleotide long non-coding RNA is filed under the name Vigna radiata. RNAcentral describes it as "long non-coding RNA (VRAD_LNC009527)". The record is from RNAcentral. Lineage: Eukaryota; Viridiplantae; Streptophyta; Magnoliopsida; Fabales; Fabaceae.